CGGAAUUACUGGGCGUAAAGGGUGCGUAGGUGGUUAUUUAAGUUAUCUGUGAAAUCCCUGGGCUUAACCUGGGAAGGUCAGAUAAUACUGUUUAACUCGAGUAUAGGAGAGGGUAGUGGAAUUUCCGGUGUAGCGGUGAAAUGCGUAAAGAUCGGAAGGAACACCAGUGGCGAAGGCGGCUACCUGGCCUGAUAC
This 195-nucleotide ribosomal RNA is filed under the name uncultured Legionella sp. RNAcentral's name for it is "partial 16S ribosomal RNA". It matches the Rfam family "Bacterial small subunit ribosomal RNA", at positions 546 to 740 of the family's 1533-position model. The record is from RNAcentral. Lineage: Bacteria; Pseudomonadati; Pseudomonadota; Gammaproteobacteria; Legionellales; Legionellaceae.